RNAcentral lists this small RNA (1395 nucleotides) under Pan troglodytes (chimpanzee). RNAcentral describes it as "retained intron". The record is from RNAcentral. Lineage: Eukaryota; Metazoa; Chordata; Mammalia; Primates; Hominidae.
CUUCACUACGGCGCUCAUUCUAUGUGUGACUCUUGAGUGUAAUUAGUGUAAGUCCUUUUUAUACGCUCACAUUCUUUCAUCUUCCAACAACUCUUGUGGUUCCUGAUGAGGAGGCACCACGAUGAUGAUUCCUUGUCUGUUCCAGAAGGGCUCCCGGCCCUUCACUUGGGGAGUUUGCUGGAGGAGAGCUGGGUUGCCUUGCUCUGUCAGCCCCAAGUUGUAAAGUGUCACAGAAUUGGCAGGGAGGGUUCGUGGGUCACUGAUUAGUGUUUAUAUUUCUCCAGCAAGGAUGGAGGCUGGGGGAGGGCUGGGCAGCCUCAGGAGUGCCACCCCCUCUAUGAGCAAACAGCUCAGUGCCAGCCGGUCAAUAGGAUGUGGGUCAAAGCUCAUGCUGCCCCUGAUGUCCAAGUGUGGAGCUCUGUCCUUGGAGUUUCUCUGCCCCUCGGUUGGUCAGACCUGGAGGCGGGGCUGCCAUUGACCAUGAGCCUUCUGGGCCUCAGGCAGGCCUGGGCCUCCCCCACCUGUCUGAGGGUGGUGCCCGGUCAAAGACAGGUUUAACCUGCUUUGCCCCGCCCCUUCCCACCUGCUUGUCCCACUCCAGGUGUUUGCUCUGGCCCCACUCCAAACUCCUGGAGUGUGUGUGUUGAGGGCUUCGGUUAUAUGUGAUUGCCCUCAUUUGGCCUGGAGGAGGUGACAGUGGACUGGAACAGGGUUGGGGGGUGAGGGGGAAGGGACAUAGGGCUAGGCUCAACAGGCGUGGCCUCUUAUUCCCAGGCAGGAUAGGGCUGAACAUCUGGCUGAACCAGCUUUGCAGCCUGCCUCCUUCCUCCUCCUACCCUCACUUCCUGCCUGCCCAGCUGUGAAUCUGUGUGUUUCUCUCUCCCCAUUCCCUAUCCCCAGUUCUCACAGCUGGUGAACGGGGAUGUGGCUUUGCUGGGCGGGGGCCCCUACAUGCUCUGCACUGAUGGGCAGCAGCUAUUGCGACAGGUCCUGCACCCCGAGGCCUCCAGGAAGAACCUGGUGCUCCCCGACAUGUUCUUCUCCUUCUAUGACCUCCGAAGAGAAUUCCAUAUGCAGCAUCCAAGCACCUGCCCUGCCAGGGACCUCACUGUGGCCACCAUGGCACAGGAUUUAGGACUGGAGACAGAUGCCACAGAGGAUGACUUUGGGGUCUGGGAAGUCAAGACAAUGGUAGCUGUUAUCCUCCAUCUACUCAAAGAGCCCAGCAGUAAGGUUUCCCUCACUGCCUGUCACCUGUUCUCAGGGAUGAAAAAUGCCUGUCUAUUGCUCCUCCCCACUGUGACCUUCUCUAAGAGACCACGGGGGAAUCCUCUUUGUCAUUUCUUUCUUUGUUUUUUUUUUUUUUUUUUGAGACAGUCUCCCUCUGUAGCCUAG